GCAGAUCGCAUUGUUCGAAGGCGUGGAGUGCCUCCUUGCCAACAAUUUUUGAUAAAGUGGAAGGGAUUGCCCGAGUCCGAAGCAACGUGGGAAAGUCAAGAAGACUUGUGGCAGUUCGAAGACAAACUAAAGCAUUACGCGGCGACGAGGGCGUCGCCCAAAUAGGCAGGGGAGAAUGUCACGACUCGCUCGAUUUUGGCACAAGAAGAUCGAGAAAUUUAAAAUGUUGACGACUUGAGGCUAACCGGAAUAUUCUAGACUCCCACAAGUGCAUGAAGAUUGCUAGAAUAUGGUGAGACAUUCUAGAAGCCUACAAGCUCCUCACUUAGUGGAUUAUUCUAGAUCACCCUAAUUUAGUCCAUAAAUAUUUUAAUGUAAAUAUUUGUAUAGAUAAUUCUAAAUGUGUAAUCUAGACCAUUGGAUAGAAAAUAUCUUAGCCAUCCAUUUGAGGAGGCUACUACUAUAAAUAGCUUGGUAGGAUUCAUUUGAAGGCAUCAAGAGAGUGAAGUUGUAAAGAGUAUCCUUAUUCAAUACAAAGCCUUCUUUGUAAGUUCUUGUGUUCCUUCAUUGUUCCUUUCUUAAAGUGUUCUACUUAGUGCCUUUCUAAGACAUCAACGCCAAUCGGGAGGCUGACUUAAUGUAAUAACCGCGAGGGCGGAAGUUGAAGACACUAAGGCCGCACGGUUCUUGGAGGAAAUUAGCAAGUCCGUGACAUUGUGCUAGAGCAUGUAAUCAAGAAGUUCCUUGGUGAUUAUAGAAGAUGUAGGAUAUAACGGGUAUAUUGAAAAAGAGCACUAGUAGAAAUAAAUCAUCUUGAUUUCGGAUCGCUCCCAUAAGACCAUUUUGGAAGGAGAACGACGAGGGGAACAAUACUCAGGGCUACGUUGUGAUGUACAUUGAAUUCGACUGUUCGAGUUCGUUUAGGCCUCAAAAAUUUAUUUUUAAAAUUUUAGCGCUAUUUUUGUCAAUUCGUUUAUUUUCAUUUUUUUACAAUUCUAGUUUGACUAAACUUCUUUUUCAUUACUUUUAGUUGUUCUAAACUAAGUUUCUAUAUAAACCCUUAUAAAUAAGGGCUUAGUUCUUUUUUUAUCUUUCAUUAAUAAAUUCGUGAGUUUAUUUUCUUUAUUAUUUGAUGGAUUACAAAUUUCUUGUUCUUAAGGUUUUCACUUGAAUUUCUUUCUUUCGUUGCGUUAAUAGAUUGGGGGUCAAAAUAUACAAAUGUUUAGUUGUAUUUGGACCAUACGGUAACUCAUUGAUGUUAUUUACUUUUCGCAAUAUUUAAACUGCAUAAUUGAUAUCUAAGUUUAGAUUUGCAUGAUUUAAAUUAUCUGGAUAUAUUUAAUUGUGACUUGUUGCAAUUGAUUACUUGAUAAAUUUAAAUUUCGCAUAUGAUACGUAUUCACCCCCUCUUAGUGUUAGUUGGAUGGAACUUCAUUAUUUCACAAAUCACACAAACCCUAACACAAUAAAAGAACAGAAAAAGAAGAUAAAAUUAUAGCAUUUAGACGUUGACUCUACACUUCAGAUUUAUAAACACUUGGAAGAAAUAGCUGGACAAUAAGCACAUCAAAAACUUUGCAUAAUAACAUUUAGAAAAAUGAUGCAAGAAAUAUAAUUUGUAUGAAAAAUUCAAAAAUAAAAACUAAUUUUGUUAAAAGACGGUGUGUUUUUUACCUCUCAAAGUCAAAACUAAUGAUGGAGUUUUGCAGGCUGAUGAGCCAGAAGAAAUAGGAGGUUCCUGUACGACACGAGUUGACUUCAAGAGUAAGUCUUCAUUUAAUAAUGCUGAUAUAGGUAUUUAAUAAUUACGUAAGACUACCCACUUGAUGUUGUGUAGAAGAACCUUACUUAUGGUUUUCUCCAAAUGUGAGAAUCGUAAGUGCGAUUUUCUUCAAGUAGUCAAUAUAAGACUUCUCAUUGUGUGCAGAAAUACGUUUUAGUUAAUAAGUAUAGCCCUUUUAAUUAUUUAAACAAAUUGAAGGGUAGUCAGCUAAAUUGAUGUUCAAGUAUAAUUACUUAUAUUAUCAGUCUUUCAUUUUAUUUUUCUAAUCAUUGAAUAUGCUUCCCAUACCAUCCCAAUGACUUGCUACUAGAUCAAAAGAUAUUUUUAUAAUGAAAUAUGUGCUUUAUCUAUUUUUAAGUAAAGAGAAGAUUAUUUUGAUAAUAAAAAAAAUACUAAAGAAGCAAUUCAUUAUCAUAUUAAGGCCAUGUUUAGUACACAUUAAUGUAAAAAUGAGAAUGAAAAAUAUGACCGUUACGGACUCUACACAAAAGAUAAAAAGUCAAAUAUAGUAGCUUGAGGUGAUGGAUAACGGUCAUUUUUUCAUUUUAAUGAGCAAAUAAUGAGAAACAAAUAGGGGCCGACAAUUUUUUCUGAAAAUAAAGAAUUUCUGAAUAGUAAAUUUUGAGAGAAAAUGUGGUUAAAAAAUAAGAAAAAUAUUGAACAUAGGUGAAAAAAUAUAUAUAUUUUAUUUUUUUUUGUGAAAAUUGAAAUUGAAAAUGAGUAUGAAAAUAAUGACUGUAAAAAAAGGAUUUAGCCCCCGUUUGUUUCCAACUUUUGUGAAAAUGAGAAUGAAAAAUAUAGUCGUUACGAACCUCACACAAGAAAUAGAAAUUCAAAUUUGAUGAUUUGAUGUGAUGGAUAACGAUCAUAUUUUUCAUUUUAAUGAUAAAAGAAUGAAAAACAAAUGGGGGCUUAAUUAUCAACUUGCAUAAAUUCCUCUUAUUAACAAAAAACCUUCAUGGAAAGAGGUGCAUGAAAGCUUUAAACUCUUCUUUCACAUGGUUGACCAACUAUUUUCAUGCCAUUCCACCACAUUACGAAAUUUACGAAAUUGCCCCCAAUUAGAGUGGAUGGUGGUAUUUACGUCUAGGGCAUUGUUGUCAUUUCACUAAUGCAAUAAGAGAAAAAUUUCAAUUUUCUCUAAAUAAAUAACAAUUAAUGGGAACUUUGGCUCUAUAUUUAAACUGCAUAAUUGAUAUCUGAGUUUAGAUUUGCGUGAUUUAAUUUAUCUGGAUAUAUUUAAGUGUGACUUAUUGCUAUUAAUUACUUGAUAAAUUUAAAUUUCACAUAUUACACCUAUUCACCCCCUUUCAAACUUCGUUGUUUCACAAAUCACACAAACUCUACCUCAGUAAAAGAAUAGAAAAAAAAAAAGAUAAAAUUAUAGCAUUUAGUUCUCGACUCUGACUUCAGAUCUAUAAACACUUCAUAAGAAAUAGCUGGACAGUGGACAUAUUGCGCAUCAAAAACUUUUCAUAGUAACAUUCAGAAAAAAUGAAGCAAGAAAUAUAAUUCGUAUGAAAAAUUCUAGUGGUUUUUACCUCUCACAGUCAAAACAAUGCUGGAGUUUUACGGCAAGAAACUGAUGAGCCCAAAGAGAUGAGAAACCAAUUUGCCUUGUGUUCUUUUAUUUGUUUUCCAGUUGAUGAUUGGAAAUGUGAAGUUAAUUCAAUGGCUUAUAUAGGAAGAAACAAGAGGUUAAUGAAUGGCGC
This 3495-nucleotide long non-coding RNA is filed under the name Olea europaea (common olive). RNAcentral describes it as "long non-coding RNA (OEUR_LNC005309)". Lineage: Eukaryota; Viridiplantae; Streptophyta; Magnoliopsida; Lamiales; Oleaceae. The record is from RNAcentral.